This 390-nucleotide ribosomal RNA is filed under the name uncultured bacterium. Its description in RNAcentral is "bacterial SSU rRNA". It matches the Rfam family "Bacterial small subunit ribosomal RNA", at positions 28 to 377 of the family's 1533-position model. The record is from RNAcentral.
GAUGAACGCUGGCGGUGUGCAUAAGACAUGCAAGUCGAACGAAACAACUUAUUUCCAUUUAUUCAAUUUUCAAGUUUCAGUAAUGAAAAAUGUUAAAUGACAAAAUGAAAAUUAUUGUUUAGUGGCGGACGGGUGAGUAACACGUUGGUACCUACCCUCUAGUGGGGAAUAACCUCGGGAAACCGAGGCUAAUACCGCAUGUGAUCCUUCGGGAUUAAAGCAGUAAUGCGCUGGAGGAGGGGCCUGCGUCUGAUUAGCUUGUUGGUAAGGUAAUGGCUUACCAAGGCGACGAUCAGUAGCUGGAUCGAGAGGUUGACCAGCCACACUGGGACUGAGAUACGGCCCAGACUCCUACGGGAGGCAGCAGUCAGGAAUCUUCCACAAUGGGCG